AACAAAAUACCAAAAUAAAACAAAGGCCAAAACCAAAAGCAGAAACAGAUCAAGCAGCUCAACCUCUCUAGCCUCUUAAUGAAUAAUGAUAGAUCGAACCAGAAGCAAAACAGUUGAGUUGAAGAUCGAAGCUCUAGGUCAAAACACACUCUCUCUUUCUCAAUUUUUGUAGUUUUUUCUUUCGACUUCAUCAAAGUCUAAACCCUAAAUGCUCGCCUUCUCAAGCACAACAACUUCAAAAGGAUUUAUCAUUUUCUUGGAGAUCUUAUAGAGUCGUAUUCUUAGCAUCAUCAAAGUCAGCCGCGUCGAGCCGUCAUGGUCUGUGUGACAAGCUAAAAGGUCACAUUGACUUGAGCAAAAGAAUAGUUAAGCUUGUAAAUAGAGGCAGAACAAUUAGCAAGCUCGUUCACUCUAUCGUGCGACCCGUGCCUGAGACUCUUGGAAUCGAAUUAGAGGUAUUGAUUUUGAUUUGAUUGUCGACAUAUUUUUGUUUUUAGAUUUUUUUUUUUUAUAUUUUAUAGUGUUUAAUUAGCAAUAAAUUUGAAUUUCUAGAGUAAUUUAGGUGUACUGGCGAAUUAAAUGUUGAUUUUAUGUAUUUACUUUUUGAUUUGAAAUCCGCUUUCUCUUAAGUGUUAUUCGUUUGUGUUUCGAAUGCAGGUUUAGUGCUUACAGAUGCCAAGAGAAAAGGGUUUCUUCAUCCAGUGAAAUUCAAGAGAGUUGACAGCAAAAGGGAGCACAUAUGUUUCUUGAUUGAGAACGAGUGCAAAGGAUGACAUUUUAAUGAGGUUCUGAAGCUGACGAAUAACGAUUUGCUAAAAUUUUGAGAAAGUUAUAUAUUCCGUAACUUCAACAAGUGAAGAAUAAAAGAAUAAUAGUUCGUCAUCUUCACAAUGAAGAUCAUGGACGAGAUUAAAAGCUAAAACUAGUCCAUUUGAAAAGCCAAAGUUCAAGUUCCUUGGCUAAGUUCAGAAGUGAAGCAAAGAAUAAAUAAAUAAAGAUCAAGGGAUGGGAAUAAAGUCACCCCCAGACAGUUGCAGAAAGAUUAUUAUUUGGUAAGCGUAGUUGAUUAUUAGUACAAAACAGAGUAGGUGAAACACAUCCUUUCUAUUUAGACUGAUCAGCAUCUAAAAUUUUAUGAAUUAUAAGUUGCAUUUUACUUUGUACAUUAUGUUAACACAUUUUAAUUUAGCCAAUUUUGCAAUAAAUGUUAUUGAUGUAUUAAAUUGCAACAACAAAACACAAUUAUUGGUUUUAAAGAAUGAAAAAAAAAAAAUACAAAAAUAGAAAAUGAAUUGAAUUCCACUCAUCGUCAUCUUGGCAAAUCAAGUCAAAAAAUAAAAAUCCAUAUGCUUUUGUUAAAGUUAAAAGCUACAUAAAUAAUAUCACAGAAGCUUCUGCUAAGGUUCAUGUGAAGUCACAGCUUUGAUACUUGUAAUACAAGGAGCACGGAGAAACCAUAAACUUCAGUUUAGGUAUAUACAUUGCUUGUCUUUCUGCUGUACCGUACAUCCGCCUUAGCCGUACAGCAGAAAACAAAAUACCAAAAUAAAACAAAGGCCAAAACCAAAAGCAGAAACAGAUCAAGCAGCUCAACCUCUCUAGCCUCUUAAUGAAUAAUGAUAGAUCGAACCAGAAGCAAAACAGUUGAGUUGAAGAUCGAAGCUCUAGGUCAAAACACACUCUCUCUUUCUCAAUUUUUGUAGUUUUUUCUUUCGACUUCAUCAAAGUCUAAACCCUAAAUGCUCGCCUUCUCAAGCACAACAACUUCAAAAGGAUUUAUCAUUUUCUUGGAGAUCUUAUAGAGUCGUAUUCUUAGCAUCAUCAAAGUCAGCCGCGUCGAGCCGUCAUGGUCUGUGUGACAAGCUAAAAGGUCACAUUGACUUGAGCAAAAGAAUAGUUAAGCUUGUAAAUAGAGGCAGAACAAUUAGCAAGCUCGUUCACUCUAUCGUGCGACCCGUGCCUGAGACUCUUGGAAUCGAAUUAGAG
This 1986-nucleotide long non-coding RNA is filed under the name Citrus sinensis (sweet orange). Its description in RNAcentral is "long non-coding RNA (CSIN_LNC005485)". Lineage: Eukaryota; Viridiplantae; Streptophyta; Magnoliopsida; Sapindales; Rutaceae. The record is from RNAcentral.